This 446-nucleotide ribosomal RNA is filed under the name uncultured bacterium. RNAcentral's name for it is "partial 16S ribosomal RNA". It matches the Rfam family "Bacterial small subunit ribosomal RNA", at positions 338 to 795 of the family's 1533-position model. The record is from RNAcentral.
CCUACGGGCGGCAGCAGUCGAGAAUCAUUCACAAUGGGGGAAACCCUGAUGGUGCGACGCCGCGUGGGGGAAUGAAGGUCUUCGGAUUGUAAACCCCUGUCAUGUGGGAGCAAAUUAAAAAGAUAGUACCACAAGAGGAAGAGACGGCUAACUCUGUGCCAGCAGCCGCGGUAAUACAGAGGUCUCAAGCGUUGUGCGGAAUCACUGGGCGUAAGGCGUGCGUAGGCUGUUUCGUAAGUCGUGUGUGAAAGGCGCGGGCUCAACCCGCGGACGGCACAUGAUACUGCGAGACUAGAGUAAUGGAGGGGGAACCGGAAUUCUCGGUGUAGCAGUGAAAUGCGUAGAUAUCGAGAGGAACACUCGUGGCGAAGGCGGGUUCCUGGACAUUAACUGACGCUGAGGCACGAAGGCCAGGGGAGCGAAAGGGAUUAGAUACCCGAGUAGUC